Molecule: ribosomal RNA, 253 nt
Filed under: uncultured bacterium
Lineage: Bacteria
Description: partial 16S ribosomal RNA
Rfam family: Bacterial small subunit ribosomal RNA
Source: RNAcentral
UACGUAGGGAGCAAGCGUUGUCCGGAAUCAUUGGGCGUAAAGCGCGCGUAGGCGGCCCUGUAAGUCCGUUGUGAAAGUCAAAGGCUCAACCUUUGAAAGCCGAUGGAUACUGCAGGGCUAGAGUCCGGAAGAGGAGAGUGGAAUUCCUGGUGUAGCGGUGAAAUGCGCAGAUAUCAGGAAGAACACCCGUGGCGAAGGCGGCUCUCUGGGACGGUACUGACGCUGAGACGCGAAAGCGUGGGGAGCAAACAGG